GCGUUGUUAGGCUAGCGGUAAACUGGGCCCUUGCCAUUAGGAUAAAUGGGCUCGUCAGGGGUUCGACUCCCCUACAACGCA
Molecule: transfer RNA, 81 nt
Filed under: Phakopsora pachyrhizi
Lineage: Eukaryota; Fungi; Basidiomycota; Pucciniomycetes; Pucciniales; Phakopsoraceae
Description: tRNA-Gly
Rfam family: tRNA
About the family: Transfer RNA (tRNA) molecules are approximately 80 nucleotides in length. Their secondary structure includes four short double-helical elements and three loops (D, anti-codon, and T loops).
Source: RNAcentral